Long non-coding RNA from Solanum tuberosum (potato), 1447 nucleotides. RefSeq lists it as uncharacterized. The transcript is spliced from 2 exons. The record is from RefSeq and is a predicted model, not a curated record. NCBI's taxonomy places the organism in Eukaryota, Viridiplantae, Streptophyta, Magnoliopsida, Solanales, Solanaceae.
AGAAUCCACAAGAUCAUGCUAUUAGGACAAUGUUCCAAUUUCAGCUUCCAAUUUCAUUUUUAGAGGUUCAAACAUUAGAGUCUCGAAAUGACUACCGACAGACAACUUCUCGACUUAGUUGAUACUAAUUUACUUUCUAAGAUACACUUAUUUAACUAUAUGAAUAAAUUUGAGGGUCAAAUAAAUACACUUGAUAACAGUUUGAUAGUGAUUUUCUAAGAAUGCAAAGGUGAUUAGUUUGCCUAUGUUGAACAUUCAUAGUUCAUGCAUUACAAUAUUGGUACAAUUUCUUAUCCUAACUUUUUAUCUCUCUCUUUUACUUUCUUAUGGUUGUAUAGAGGUGAUAAAUGAUUUUAAGAUCCAUGGGUAUUUAUGCUUGUCAUGUCUCAUAAUCCAAGACUAUGUUGCUCGGACUCUUUAAAAAUGUCAAGAGGUCAAGAGGUGCGUGUCGGAUUCGCCAAAAGUAGUGCAUUUUUGAAGAAUUCGACAUGGGUGCGGCAUCGAAAGUGAAAAGUCCGCAACUUAGAUCAGGGAUGAAUGAUGGAAAUUUUAAACUAAAAAUUGCUUAUUGACUUUCAUAUAUAACUAAAAAUUGCUUAUUGACUUUCAUAUGUUAUGUAUGCAAGUUUUGAUAAAGUCACUGCUUGUUUUGUACCAGCAAGAAAAACAAAUAUUAUAAGACUCUGAAUUAACGAUCUAGACUAAGUUUUUGCUUCUUUUUUUUCAUUCAACACAUUUCACUGCCACGUUUUAAUCAUAUUGUUAGUUGGUCUUAUUUGUUUUUUACAUGUGUAAAAAUUUGUAGUUUUCAUGAUUCAUUUUUCUUGAUAUUAGGCUCUAACAAGCAGAACAAAAUUGCUAAGAAAAUCUCGAGUACAUUUAGUUGUCAAGCGUCAUUGCUGAAGAACUUAUAGAAUGUCACCUAAUAUCUAAAAAAUUCUCAGAUAUAUUGCUUUUUUUUCCUGAAAUUUUUCAAUAGGGAAGCACCAUUCUUCAGGCGAUAUGGUAAUACCAUUAUCUACGAGCAACAAUAUCUAUAAAUGCAUAACAAUUUUUCAGAUGCUUCUCCUACAAAAUGAUCAGUUGAGUAUCUUUCGAAGAACUGCAAUCAGCCAUACUGCAAAUACAGUUGGUAUAAGCCUCUCGACGAUGCAUUCCAAAGUAACUUAUUUGAAUAAGAUGCAACGGUUGAAAUAAAGCUAGAGUUGUAUCCGGUCAGCAAUCUAUAUUGUUUGUUUACUUUUUCUUAUCAAUCAAUUGUUGUAAAAAAUUUGUUUCUUAUUUUAGUUAAACUUUCAACAAACAGGAAAGGGCUAUGGACAUUAUUCCUCCAUAACUGAGGCACUAUUAUAGUAUCUUUGUAAAUAUAAAUUUACACUCCUUACAACUUUGUAAUACAAAUAAUUAAUUUCAAUUCGUCGGGCCCGUGGUUAGCACGGGCAUAUUA